This 492-nucleotide ribosomal RNA is filed under the name uncultured bacterium. RNAcentral's name for it is "partial 16S ribosomal RNA". It matches the Rfam family "Bacterial small subunit ribosomal RNA", at positions 29 to 507 of the family's 1533-position model. The record is from RNAcentral.
AGUGAACGCUGGCGGUAGGCCUAACACAUGCAAGUCGAACGGCAGCACAGUAAGAGCUUGCUCUUACGGGUGGCGAGUGGCGGACGGGUGAGGAAUACAUCGGAAUCUACUUUUUCGUGGGGGAUAACGUAGGGAAACUUACGCUAAUACCGCAUACGACCUACGGGUGAAAGCAGGGGAUCUUCGGACCUUGCGCGAUUGAAUGAGCCGAUGUCGGAUUAGCUAGUUGGCGGGGUAAAGGCCCACCAAGGCGACGAUCCGCAGCUGGUCUGAGAGGAUGAUCAGCCACACUGGAACUGAGACACGGCCCAGACUCCUACGGGAGGCAGCAGUGGGGAAUAUUGGACAAUGGGCGCAAGCCUGAUCCAGCCAUACCGCGUGGGUGAAGAAGGCCUUCGGGUUGUAAAGCCCUUUUGUUGGGAAAGAAAAGCAGCAGGUUAAUACCCCGCUGUUCUGACGGUACCCAAAGGAUAAGCACCGGCUAACUUCGUG